UCGCUGGUCAGUCUCACACCUGUCUUGAUAAAAGGUCUGAUAAGAGCCCCUGCCUGUUGUGGAGACUGUAGAUCUGUGGAAUACGAAACACUUUACAUUAACUUGUCCUCAUACCAAACUUUUCUGUAUUAAAGCAUAACUCCCUUAGCUUUACUCAACAUCACACAGGAUUCAAGCAGCUGCCCCAGGUUCUGGUGGGCAGAUAGAAAGGCAUUGCUUUUGGUGCCCAUUGCUGUGCUGAACUUUUCAUACGUUUUCAUUGCUUCUUAAUGAAUACUUGUGGAACCAAACCGAGACCGGCUCUUCUCAUAUUUGGGAUUAAAGAACACAACAAAUUUAAUGACCCCAACAUGAUCCUGAAGAGAAGUUUUGACCAGAAAGACCAGAGACCCAGAGGUCGAGGCCUAUCGAUUCUCCACAUACUCACAAGGCGCAAAACAAAAAGGUAGGCAGAAAAGGAGAGGAAAAAGGAGGUAAAGCAAUAAAGUCCUGUGUUUUUGGGAAGCAAAGAAAAGGUACAGCAAAGCAAUGUGAAAUCAAGGGAAUGAACAAAGGUUGUUUGUAACAGAAAAUAAGUCUAAAAGAUAAAAAAAAGCUAGGUCUGGGACCUGCGCAGGACGGGCACCACACUUCUGUGACGCACAAACCCUUAAAACUAAUUCAGAUUUAAAAAAAGAAGACGACUCAGGCAGUAGUUUGCAGUUUGGUUCUUUUAUCCCAAAUAUGGGAAGAGCCGGUCUCGGUUUGGUUCUACAGGUGGAUUAAACAAUAGCCCGGUUUGACACUGGAAUACAACGAGAGUCAUUUUUGUGCCUCUCUCUUCCUGGUGGUCUUCCUCAUUCUAACGAGAUGAAGUACUAAUCACUCAUCCACAGGAAGAGUGGUUCAGUGGAUGAAAAGGGUGUGUCUCCGUGUGUGAUUGUGUGUGUUUGUCUGUGUUUGUAUGAUGCAGGAGGAUCCAGAGAGAAGCCGCAGCUAGGGUCAUUCUGUCAGACACGAUCCUUGACCUGAAGAAACCGCCCUAGUUUCCCUGAUGCACUCUGGCUUUGAGCUACAGCCUUAAACAAUAGAAGAAGAAGAAGAAGAAGAAGAAGAAGAAGAAGUAGAAGUAGAAGCUGCAGUCUUCACCUGGCUGAAUCUUUUGUGAACUUCCGAAUAAUUAUUGACUGUGCGAUCAAUUCUGUUCUAUCUGUUCUAUAUUAAACUGUAACUUAUACAGAG
Molecule: long non-coding RNA, 1221 nt
Organism: Platichthys flesus (European flounder)
Lineage: Eukaryota; Metazoa; Chordata; Actinopteri; Pleuronectiformes; Pleuronectidae
Exons: 2
Source: RefSeq, a predicted model, not a curated record